RNAcentral lists this transfer RNA (65 nucleotides) under Dacus durbanensis. Its description in RNAcentral is "tRNA-Ile". Lineage: Eukaryota; Metazoa; Arthropoda; Insecta; Diptera; Tephritidae. RNAcentral also lists the same sequence under 2 other names. The record is from RNAcentral.
AAUGAAUUGCCUGACAAAAGGGUUACCUUGAUAGGGUAAAUUAUGUAAUAAGAUUACAUUCAUUA